This is an RNA transcript of Ictidomys tridecemlineatus (thirteen-lined ground squirrel), 582 nucleotides long. RefSeq lists it as uncharacterized. Lineage: Eukaryota; Metazoa; Chordata; Mammalia; Rodentia; Sciuridae. The record is from RefSeq and is a predicted model, not a curated record.
AUUCCCGUUUUCUCUCUUUUGAUAAUCUCUCAUUUGCCAGUGUAUUCAGUUUCCAUUGAGACUAUUUUUCCUUAUAUUAUCUCAAAUCGGGAACUGAACAAUGUAGAAUAAAAAUGCUCUAAAAUAUGGGGCUAUAACGUUUUCUUUCUAACCUUUUUGUCACUUGGAUGGAACAUGUGAACACUAAUGAAUCAUCGGGAACUUUCCAAUAUGUCCUGCGGCUGUGGGACCUGACUAGGAGGAAGAUUUUCCAAAUGGCACACAGACAAAACACAGUUCAGGUGUAUUCACUCACUGCCUAAAUCCUUCAUAACAGUGUCAAACAGUUUUCAAAUGGAGGGUGUAUCACCUACGAGGCGGAGAGGGGGGUGAUGCAGAAAUGUGUGGAGGCAUUUUCUGUUUUCACAGCAACUCUAGACUGGUCUUGGCAGCUGGUGGAAGAAAGCCAGGUUGGUAUUUAUCCUGGGAUGCGUGGGACAUUCCAGCUCAACAAAGAACUCUUCUUCCCCAAAGCCCAAUAACAUGCCUGUUGAGAAACUGACUAACUUUGAAAUUGAAUGCUUGAUUAUCCAUUUUCCUGAG